ACUUAAAUAAUUUAAAAAAAAUAUUGAUUUGUGGAAUCAAAUAUAUGGAAAAUAUUCAUUUUAAGUC
This 67-nucleotide transfer RNA is filed under the name Parasarpa dudu (white commodore). RNAcentral's name for it is "tRNA-His". The record is from RNAcentral. Lineage: Eukaryota; Metazoa; Arthropoda; Insecta; Lepidoptera; Nymphalidae.